Molecule: ribosomal RNA, 301 nt
Filed under: uncultured bacterium
Lineage: Bacteria
Description: partial 16S ribosomal RNA
Rfam family: Bacterial small subunit ribosomal RNA
Source: RNAcentral
CAGCCGCCGCGGGAAUACGUAGGUGGCAAGCGUUGUCCGGAAUUAUUGGGCGUAAAGGGCUCGCAGGCGGUUUCUUAAGUCUGAUGUGAAAGCCCCCGGCUCAACCGGGGAGGGUCAUUGGAAACUGGGAAACUUGAGUGCAGAAGAGGAGAGUGGAAUUCCACGUGUAGCGGUGAAAUGCGUAGAGAUGUGGAGGAACACCAGUGGCGAAGGCGACUCUCUGGUCUGUAACUGACGCUGAGGAGCGAAAGCGUGGGGAGCGAACAGGAUUAGAUACCCGAGUAGUCCCUGUCUCUUAUAC